AGGAGUUGGUUAUUUCCGCAUGGACGAAGUCUGACGGAGCAACGCCGCGUGAGUGAUGAAGGUUUUCGGAUCGUAAAGCUCUGUUGUUAGGGAAGAACAAGUGCAAGAGUAACUGCUUGCACCUUGACGGUACCUAACCAGAAAGCCACGGCUAACUACGUGCCAGCAGCCGCGGUAAUACGUAGGUGGCAAGCGUUGUCCGGAAUUAUUGGGCGUAAAGGGCUCGCAGGCGGUUUCUUAAGUCUGAUGUGAAAGCCCCCGGCUCAACCGGGGAGGGUCAUUGGAAACUGGGAAACUUGAGUGCAGAAGAGGAGAGUGGAAUUCCACGUGUAGCGGUGAAAUGCGUAGAGAUGUGGAGGAACACCAGUGGCGAAGGCGACUCUCUGGUCUGUAACUGACGCUGAGGAGCGAAAGCGUGGGGAGCGAACAGGAUUAGAUACCCUGGUAGUCCACGCCGUAAACGAUGAGUGCUAAGUGUUAGGGGGUUUCCGCCCCUUAGUGCUGCAGCUAACGCAUUAAGCACUCCGCCUGGGGAGUACGGUCGCAAGACUGAAACUCAAAGGAAUUGACGGGGGCCCGCACAAGCGGUGGAGCAUGUGGUUUAAUUCGAAGCAACGCGAAGAACCUUACCAGGUCUUGACAUCCUCUGACAACCCUAGAGAUAGGGCUUUCCCUUCGGGGACAGAGUGACAGGUGGUGCAUGGUUGUCGUCAGCUCGUGUCGUGAGAUGUUGGGUUAAGUCCCGCAACGAGCGCAACCCUUGAUCUUAGUUGCCAGCAUUUCAGUUGGGCACUCUAAGGUGACUGCCGGUGACAAACCGGAGGAAGGUGGGGAUGACGUCAAAUCAUCAUGCCCCUUAUGACCUGGGCUACACACGUGCUACAAUGGACAGAACAAAGGGCUGCGAGACCGCAAGGUUUAGCCAAUCCCACAAAUCUGUUCUCAGU
RNAcentral lists this ribosomal RNA (947 nucleotides) under Bacillus sp. JZDN41. Its description in RNAcentral is "bacterial SSU rRNA". It matches the Rfam family "Bacterial small subunit ribosomal RNA", at positions 350 to 1292 of the family's 1533-position model. Lineage: Bacteria; Bacillati; Bacillota; Bacilli; Caryophanales; Bacillaceae. The record is from RNAcentral.